GAACAAGUACCGUGAGGGAAAGGUGAAAAGCACCCCGACGAGGGGAGUGAAAGAGACCUGAAACCGGACGCCUACAAGCAGUCGGAGCCUCUUAUGGGGUGACGGCGUACCUUUUGUAUAAUGGGUCAGCGAGUUUCUGUUUGCAGCGAGCUUAAGCCGUUAGGUGUAGGCGUAGCGAAAGCGAGUCUGAAUAGGGCGCAUAGUUGCUGGCAGAAGACCCGAAACCGAGUGAUCUAGCCAUGGCCAGGCUGAAGGUGCGGUAACACGCACUGGAGGGCCGAACCCACGCCUGUUGAAAAAGUCGGGGAUGAGCUGUGGCUAGGGGUGAAAGGCCAAUCAAACUCGGAGAUAGCUGGUUCUCCGCGAAAUCUAUUGAGGUAGAUCGUCAGGUGUUGACCCCGGGGGGUAGAGCACUGGAUGGGCUAGGGGGGCCCAAAGCCUUACCAAACCUAACCAAACUCCGAAUACCCGGAAGUUUAGCCUGGCAGACAGACAGUGGGUGCUAAGGUCCAUUGUCGAGAGGGAAACAGCCCAGACCACCAGCUAAGGCCCCCAAAUCGUGGCUAAGUGGGAAAGGAUGUGGGGAUUCCAUAACAACCAGGAGGUUGGCUUAGAAGCAGCCAUCCUUUAAAGAAAGCGUAAUAGCUCACUGGUCUAAUAGAAACCCUGCGCCGAAAAUGUAACGGGGCUCAAGCCACGUGCCGAAGCUGUGGGUGCAUACUUUGUAUGCGCGGUAGCGGAGCGUUCCGUAAGUCUGUGAAGGAGACGGGGUGACUCUCUCUGGAGAUAUCGGAAGUGCGAAUGCUGACAUGAGUAGCGACAAACAGUGCGAGAAACACUGUCGCCGAAAGUCCAAGGGUUCCUGCGCAAGGUUAAUCCACGCAGGGUUAGUCGGCCCCUAAGGCGAGGGCGA
RNAcentral lists this ribosomal RNA (913 nucleotides) under Wolbachia endosymbiont of Drosophila santomea. RNAcentral's name for it is "partial 23S ribosomal RNA". It matches the Rfam family "Bacterial large subunit ribosomal RNA", at positions 492 to 1405 of the family's 2925-position model. The record is from RNAcentral. Lineage: Bacteria; Pseudomonadati; Pseudomonadota; Alphaproteobacteria; Rickettsiales; Anaplasmataceae.